GGGGGUUUAGCUCAGCUGGCUAGAGCGCGACGCUGGCAGCGUUGAGGUCGUCGGUUCGACUCCGAUAACCUCCA
RNAcentral lists this transfer RNA (74 nucleotides) under Saprospiraceae bacterium. RNAcentral's name for it is "tRNA-Ala". It matches the Rfam family "tRNA". Rfam says of the family: Transfer RNA (tRNA) molecules are approximately 80 nucleotides in length. Their secondary structure includes four short double-helical elements and three loops (D, anti-codon, and T loops). The record is from RNAcentral. Lineage: Bacteria; Pseudomonadati; Bacteroidota; Saprospiria; Saprospirales; Saprospiraceae.